AAGGAGAACAACGACACAACACUACAAUGUAACUAACACACACAGAAACGGACCAAGCAUCAGACAAAAUCCCACGAGAAUAACAAAUAUAACAUCAAAACCAAAUAAAUGAAUUUGGGAUAGACAAGUACCGUGACACGUCUUAUCGCAAUGUCAAUUUACACUCAAAAAUAAGAGAAAACAAACGACGCAACGUUAAAUUGCAA
This 206-nucleotide long non-coding RNA is filed under the name Mytilus galloprovincialis (Mediterranean mussel). The record is from RNAcentral. Lineage: Eukaryota; Metazoa; Mollusca; Bivalvia; Mytilida; Mytilidae.